RNAcentral lists this long non-coding RNA (689 nucleotides) under Anas platyrhynchos platyrhynchos (common mallard). RNAcentral describes it as "lncRNA (ENSAPLG00000026733.1)". The record is from RNAcentral. Lineage: Eukaryota; Metazoa; Chordata; Aves; Anseriformes; Anatidae.
AUUAUUGCAAGGAUGCAAGAAUUGCUUGAUGCAAACAAUAGUAGCAUUACAGCAAAAGAAGCCAGAAAUAAGAGGAGUACUUCUGUGGUACACAACAGUUGUAGUACCCUGGGACAAGAGAAAACUGUUCUCUUCAGUCUUGUCAGAAGAGGGUAUAAUGGACCUUGCUGCAACAAGCAUAGGAGCUCCAUAGAAGCUGCUGCUCCCCACCUCCGAGUUGACUGGGGCUGAACUACUGAAAAAGAAAAGAAAAGCUAUAAAUAAUAGUGAGAGAUGGUGAAUACCUAACCAUCUCUUAAAAGCAGGAAUUUAAGAGAAUAAGUAAUUGAUAAAUGGAGUUAAGAUCGAAAGGAAAAAAAUCCACUGUUGCAGUCAAUAGAGGUAAGAAGUUUUUCAAGUACAUUAGGAACAAAAAUUAGAGUAAUGACACAGAUCUGAUACGGGAUGGGUAUUGCUUCAGUGAGAAAUGAUGAAAAAAACCACAACACAACACGUGUAUGUGUUGUUGGGUAUUUGUAAAAAAAAAACAAAACAACAAAAAAACAGGUUAAUGAAAACUGCAUGCUCAAUUAGAUGAUUUUUUGGUUGUCAUUGGUAGGGAAUUGUGUGCUUUACAACACAAUAUGUGUUAUAUAUAUUUUUAUAUAUGUUUUAAUAAAUAGACUUCAUUAGAUAACUGAUUUUGAAUG